GCGGGCAUUAUCCCAGACCUAGAGUAGCCGCGGUCUUGCAUCCCAAGUGGUCAUCAUCAACUCCAAAAGAUACCCCCUGACUUAACGUGCUACUGUCUAAUUCCCAUACUACACAGUGCCCUUUUCCCUUCCCCUUCCAGUGUGUGCCCUGCAGAGGAGCUGCCGUUCAAGGAUGCCUCAGUGGACCUCCUGACUUCAUUCACUGCUGCGCAUUGGUUUGAUCUUGAGAAGUUCAUGAGGGAAGCAAAGCGCGUGGUCCGGCCAGGUGCUUGCGUGGCCAUCAGCACCUACACCGUGGACAUGAGUCUGCGCUAUGGAAAGUGCUCUGAAAACCUGACCCAGGUCUUCAGGGAGGUGAGGGAUGGAACUUGUGGGACUUGGUUUUGACAUACUCACAUCAGAGAAUAAAACUUGUCUUGGAAGACUACAAAGAGAUCUUCGAGGCCUUGCCAUUCCCAGACAAGAAGAGGUGAGCAGAACCCCCUCGGUGCAGCACCAGCAGCGGAUGGAGGUGGCAUCUCCGCUCCUCUCUCUGCCAGCAGUCCAGAUAGAGUUGGGUUUGCCAGAGCAGGCAGCUGCCAGCUUCCAGCAGAUGCCUUUGCGUUGUGGCCAACAUGGGCCGCACUCCACUUCUGCUGGAUUGGAUGUGGGUCUAUGCUGGGCCAGCAUAUGAGGUCUGAGGGGUGCAAGAGCCCUUCCUGCCCAAGGCAGAACUGGGUUAGGGAUUUUUCUAUGGUGAGUUAUGAUAAUUUGAGGGUCUGGACCCAUCACCUAAUGGAUGAAGGGGAAAGAGUGGAGUGAGUGAAGGAACCUGCCAAGAGCUACAGGGAGCCAGUGCCUGCCUCCCCACCAAGGCCUGGGGCAGGGGCUGCCUGUGCAGGCAUAAAGGAUGUGUUGGCAGUGGUGAUGCAGAGGUGUUGGUGACCUGGCUUCUGGAGGGGAACAGGCCUGUAUGGAAAGUAUUCACCCCCUUGUCAAUCUGUUGUCCUUGCUCCACUGCCUUUGAGAUUUAACUUGCCAAUGCUGCCUUCUCUGCCAUGUCUCCUAGAAUUACCGAUAUCCUUGAUAAAAUUCCCAUGACUGUCGCUGGUGUGCUGGGUUACUUAGAGUCAUCUUCUCCAUAUCAAGCCUUUCUGAAGAGUGACCCUGAAGCUGCAAAAUCCCUCCUCCAAGAGACUGAAAAGAGGUGAGAAAUCUGCUUGGAAAAACAAGCAGGGCAUGGAGGGUGAGGUUGUGGAGACCCCUUCAAAGCUGGAAGCGAGCUGGGCAGUGAUGUGCUCCCUCCUUCCCCCAUUGUGGAGGGAUACUCAUCAGAGGUUAAGCAGCAGAUCCUCAGCUCAUCACAGAAUUAUUGACAUCGGUCUGAGUCAGUUGACUUAAAGCUUUUCAAGCCUAUGUAGCUGUACAUGAUGUAUCCAUGUUAAGUCUCAUGUCAGAGAUGUCUUGGGUUUCUUUGCUGUCCUCUUGACUAGCAGAGGACAGGAGAAAGACUGAC
Molecule: long non-coding RNA, 1495 nt
Filed under: Amazona collaria (yellow-billed parrot)
Lineage: Eukaryota; Metazoa; Chordata; Aves; Psittaciformes; Psittacidae
Description: lncRNA (ENSACOG00000010402.1)
Source: RNAcentral